Molecule: ribosomal RNA, 216 nt
Filed under: uncultured bacterium
Lineage: Bacteria
Description: partial 16S ribosomal RNA
Rfam family: Bacterial small subunit ribosomal RNA
Source: RNAcentral
UGGGAACCUUCCCUAUGGUUCGGAAUAGCUCAGGGAAACUUGGGGUAAUACCGGAUAAGCCCUACGGGGGAAAGAUUUAUCGCCAUUGGAUGGGCCCGCGUCGGAUUAGCUAGUUGGUGAGGUAACGGCUCACCAAGGCAACGAUCCGUAGCUGGUCUGAGAGGAUGAUCAGCCACACUGGGACUGAGACACGGCCCAGACUCCUACGGGAGGCAG